UAGAUGCAAAGGAUCCAGUGGAGGUCUCUGAGGCCCUGGGAGAUGGUAGAGCCACACCAUGAAGGUGCCUGGGUCCCUGAAUGACUGCAUGGAGCUCACUCUACAUUGGACUGUGACACAAGCAAGAAAGGCCCCAGGCUCCAGAAGCAGACGAAGAUGAACAGAAGAGCAGAAGCACAGCAGAACGGCAUGGCAGAGAGAAGAGAAUGAGCAUCUGAAUGCUGAGAGGAGUUUGGCUGGGAAUGGUCAGAGAGAUUGGCUGCUGGACAGCCAAACUCCGGGAGAAGAUCAUCUCCCCACUCCAUUCACUUUUCAGCUCCCC
RNAcentral lists this long non-coding RNA (322 nucleotides) under Homo sapiens (human). RNAcentral's name for it is "HSALNT0054912". Lineage: Eukaryota; Metazoa; Chordata; Mammalia; Primates; Hominidae. The record is from RNAcentral.